CAGUGCUUGAUGAAGCCACCAGUGCCCUGACAGAGGAAGCGGAGAGUGAGCUCUACCGAAUUGGCCAGCAACUGGGGAUGACAUUUAUCAGCGUGGGACAUCGGCCCAGCCUUGAGAAGUUUCACUCCUGGGUUCUGAGACUCCAUGGAGGAGGAAGCUGGGAACUGACUAGAAUCAAAAUGGGAUGAAGCCAAGCAGGUUCAUCGGAGCAGAGGGGCUCUGGGGCCUGCAGUGCCCACAGACAAGGAAGCCUGAUGAGCCAGGAAGGAGCCACAGGUUCACCUCAGGUCCUACAUAGGACAUCCUAGCACCCCUGGGCCCUGCCCAUGGGUGGCCCAUUGGGGAACACUGAGGUCCCCCCAGCGCUGCUCCCACGAGUUCUUACAGAUUACUUCAGAUGAUGUUUGCUGCCGAAAAACUGAAUGAACUGUAAGACAUGAAGUCUGUUCACCUCAAGAAAGCUGGUUACAUUUCACAGUGAUAGACUUUUUAAAAAAACUUUAAUUAACCAUUUACAUUUUAUAAAGUUUUUUAAAAAAAGAAUAAAUAUUAAAAAUAUAGUUUUUUUCUUCUGUGG
RNAcentral lists this long non-coding RNA (577 nucleotides) under Rattus norvegicus (Norway rat). RNAcentral describes it as "long non-coding RNA NONRATT024496". Lineage: Eukaryota; Metazoa; Chordata; Mammalia; Rodentia; Muridae. The record is from RNAcentral.